This 500-nucleotide ribosomal RNA is filed under the name uncultured bacterium. RNAcentral describes it as "partial 16S ribosomal RNA". It matches the Rfam family "Bacterial small subunit ribosomal RNA", at positions 30 to 523 of the family's 1533-position model. The record is from RNAcentral.
AUUGAACGCUGGCGGCAUGCCUUACACAUGCAAGUCGAACGGCAGCACGGGAGCAAUCCUGGUGGCGAGUGGCGAACGGGUGAGUAAUAUAUCGGAACGUGCCCAGUCGUGGGGGAUAACGCAGCGAAAGCUGUGCUAAUACCGCAUACGAUCUAUGGAUGAAAGCGGGGGAUCGCAAGACCUCGCGCGAUUGGAGCGGCCGAUAUCAGAUUAGCUAGUUGGUGGGGUAAAGGCCCACCAAGGCGACGAUCUGUAGCUGGUCUGAGAGGACGACCAGCCACACUGGAACUGAGACACGGUCCAGACUCCUACGGGAGGCAGCAGUGGGGAAUUUUGGACAAUGGGCGAAAGCCUGAUCCAGCAAUGCCGCGUGCAGGACGAAGGCCUUCGGGUUGUAAACUGCUUUUGUACGGAACGAAACGGCUCUCUCUAAUACAGGGGGCUAAUGACGGUACCGUAAGAAUAAGCACCGGCUAACUACGUGCCAGCCGCCGCGGUAA